This 407-nucleotide ribosomal RNA is filed under the name uncultured Microbacteriaceae bacterium. RNAcentral's name for it is "partial 16S ribosomal RNA". It matches the Rfam family "Bacterial small subunit ribosomal RNA", at positions 355 to 774 of the family's 1533-position model. Lineage: Bacteria; Bacillati; Actinomycetota; Actinomycetes; Micrococcales; Microbacteriaceae. The record is from RNAcentral.
UGGGGAAUAUUGCACAAUGGGCGAAAGCCUGAUGCAGCAACGCCGCGUGGGGGAUGACGGCCUUCGGGUUGUAAACCUCUUUUAGCAGGGAAGAAGCGAAAGUGACGGUACCUGCAGAAAAAGCACCGGCUAACUACGUGCCAGCAGCCGCGGUAAUACGUAGGGUGCAAGCGUUGUCCGGAAUUAUUGGGCGUAAAGAGCUCGUAGGCGGUUGGUCGCGUCUGCUGUGAAAACCCGAGGCUCAACCUCGGGCCUGCAGUGGGUACGGGCCGACUAGAGUGCGGUAGGGGAGAUCGGAAUUCCUGGUGUAGCGGUGGAAUGCGCAGAUAUCAGGAGGAACACCAAUGGCGAAGGCAGAUCUCUGGGCCGUAACUGACGCUGAGGAGCGAAAGCGUGGGGAGCGAACA